ACAUGAUGUUGAUGAUUCUUAAAUAAACAAGGACAUAAUGGACUCAUUAUCCAACAUUAGAGAGUUUAUUAAAGCUACCCAGUUCAUUGGUCAAAGAUCAGUGGACUCUCCAAGAGAACUGUCAAGCAUUUUCAAGGAUUUUGUUCUGUCCUCGCAUACUCAUUGAUGUGAGCAAGAUAGACAUGACCAGAAUUGUGACUGGGAGCAUUACUCCAAGUUAACCUCUGAGAUUGGAGACAAAGUACAGAUAAUGGGGGAUGACCUCUUGGUCACAAACCCAAAGGGGUUCAUGAUCCUUCCCAUAGGAGCUUCCUCUUUCAAGGAGGCAAUGAAGAUGGGUGUGGAAGUAUAUCUUCAUUUGAAGACAGAAAACUAUUAGAGAGGCCAUAAUGUUGAGUCGUUGUUGAGAUGUUGUUGUAGGCUUUUUCUUGAUUAGAAAUCAUGGAA
Magnolia sinica is the source of this 447-nucleotide long non-coding RNA. RefSeq lists it as uncharacterized. NCBI's taxonomy places the organism in Eukaryota, Viridiplantae, Streptophyta, Magnoliopsida, Magnoliales, Magnoliaceae. The transcript has 3 exons. The record is from RefSeq and is a predicted model, not a curated record.